GAUGAAGAACGUAGCGAAAUGCGAUACUUGGUGUGAAUUGCAGAAUCCCGUGAACCAUCGAGUCUUUGAACGCAAGUUGCGCCCGAAGCCAUUAGGCCGAGGGCACGCCUGCCUGGGCGUCACACGUCGUUGCCCCCCCAUCUACUCCUUCGGGAUUGCGAGGGGCGGAUGAUGGCCUACCGUGCGCCUCGUCGCGCGGUUGGCAUAAAUGCCAAGUCCUCGGCGACGCACGCCACGACAAUCGGUGGUUGCGAAACCUCGGUUGCCCGUCGUGUGCGGUCGUCGCGCAUCGAGGGCUCGAAAAAAUUGCCGGGCUCCGGCUCGGCUUUCAACGCGACCCCAGGUCAGGCGGGGUUACCCGCUGAAUUUAAGCAUAUCAAUAAGCGGAGGA
This 391-nucleotide unclassified non-coding RNA is filed under the name soil metagenome. RNAcentral's name for it is "partial contains 5.8S ribosomal RNA, internal transcribed spacer 2, and large subunit ribosomal RNA". The stretch from base 1 to 122 matches the Rfam family "5.8S ribosomal RNA", at positions 35 to 154 of the family's 154-position model. The record is from RNAcentral.